UACGGAGGGUGCAAGCGUUGUCCGGAAUCACUGGGCGUAAAGGGCGCGUAGGCGGCUCGGUAAGUAGGGGGUGAAAUCCUGCGGCUUAACCGCAGGGCUGCCUUCUAAACUGUCGAGCUCGAGCACGGUAGAGGCAGAUGGAAUCCCGGUGUAGCGGUGGAAUGCGUAGAGAUCGGGAAGAACAUCAGUGGCGAAGGCGGUCUGCUGGGCCGUUGCUGACGCUGAGGCGCGACAGCGUGGGGAGCAAACAGG
RNAcentral lists this ribosomal RNA (252 nucleotides) under uncultured bacterium. Its description in RNAcentral is "partial 16S ribosomal RNA". It matches the Rfam family "Bacterial small subunit ribosomal RNA", at positions 524 to 776 of the family's 1533-position model. The record is from RNAcentral.